GGGAAGGUGGCUCAGUGGUAGAGCACUUGCCUUGCAUGCCUGAGGCCCUGGGUUCUACACUCAGCCCUCUGU
This 72-nucleotide transfer RNA is filed under the name Dipodomys ordii (Ord's kangaroo rat). It matches the Rfam family "tRNA". From Rfam's summary of the family: Transfer RNA (tRNA) molecules are approximately 80 nucleotides in length. Their secondary structure includes four short double-helical elements and three loops (D, anti-codon, and T loops). The record is from Rfam by way of RNAcentral. Lineage: Eukaryota; Metazoa; Chordata; Mammalia; Rodentia; Heteromyidae.